AGUGAGCGCUGGCGGUAGGCCUAACACAUGCAAGUCGAACGGCAGCACAGGAGAGCUUGCUCUCUGGGUGGCGAGUGGCGGACGGGUGAGGAAUACAUCGGAAUCUACUCUGUCGUGGGGGAUAACGUAGGGAAACUUACGCUAAUACCGCAUACGACCUACGGGUGAAAGCAGGGGAUCUUCGGACCUUGCGCGAUUGAAUGAGCCGAUGUCGGAUUAGCUAGUUGGCGGGGUAAAGGCCCACCAAGGCGACGAUCCGUAGCUGGUCUGAGAGGAUGAUCAGCCACACUGGAACUGAGACACGGUCCAGACUCCUACGGGAGGCAGCAGUGGGGAAUAUUGGACAAUGGGCGCAAGCCUGAUCCAGCCAUACCGCGUGGGUGAAGAAGGCCUUCGGGUUGUAAAGCCCUUUUGUUGGGAAAGAAGUCCGGCUGGCUAAUACCCGGUUGGGAUGACGGUACCCAAAGAAUAAGCACCGGCUAACUUCGUGCCAGCCGCCGCCGUAA
Molecule: ribosomal RNA, 506 nt
Filed under: uncultured bacterium
Lineage: Bacteria
Description: partial 16S ribosomal RNA
Rfam family: Bacterial small subunit ribosomal RNA
Source: RNAcentral